This 253-nucleotide ribosomal RNA is filed under the name uncultured Lactobacillus sp. RNAcentral describes it as "partial 16S ribosomal RNA". It matches the Rfam family "Bacterial small subunit ribosomal RNA", at positions 524 to 776 of the family's 1533-position model. The record is from RNAcentral. Lineage: Bacteria; Bacillati; Bacillota; Bacilli; Lactobacillales; Lactobacillaceae.
UACGUAGGUGGCAAGCGUUGUCCGGAUUUACUGGGUGUAAAGGGAGCGUAGACGGUGAUGCAAGUCAGAAGUGAAAGCCCGUGGCUCAACCGAGGAAUUGCAUCGGAAACUGUGUUUCUUGAGUGCAGAAGAGGAGAGUGGAACUCCAUGUGUAGCGGUGGAAUGCGUAGAUAUAUGGAAGAACACCAGUGGCGAAGGCGGCUCUCUGGUCUGUAACUGACGCUGAGGCAUGAGAGCAUGGGGAGCAAACAGG